Molecule: long non-coding RNA, 388 nt
Organism: Neopelma chrysocephalum (saffron-crested tyrant-manakin)
Lineage: Eukaryota; Metazoa; Chordata; Aves; Passeriformes; Pipridae
Exons: 3
Source: RefSeq, a predicted model, not a curated record
CCUCCUCGCCAUUGACAGGGCGCUAUUUUCAGGGAACAUCCAGUGCUGUGCUCCGGACAAAAGGAUCCAGGGGCAGCCACAGCUUCUUAUAUCUCUCCUUGCAUCCUUAGGAAUUGUGUGGGAGCCCCAAAUCGCCCUCCUGGACCCCCAAGUGCUGGUGACACAGCCCAGGCUGAGCCAUUGCCUGGUGAUGCUCAGUUUUGGGGUGGAAGAGUUCUCUGCUCUGGAGAAUGAGGACAGAGGGGAAAAGCUCAUGGGAGUCAUUCAUGGAGUAAAUUGAGCGUCAGAGGGAGGAAAUAUUCCGUGUUCACCCAGCUUGUUCCCUGUGUGGUGAAGAUGAACCAUCAGUUGGGCUUUGGGAUUAUCCUCUUGGAAAUAAAAAGGCAAA